CAGCCAAAACUACACAGAGAGACCCUGUCUCAAAAGACAGAGAGAGAGAGAGAGAGAGAGAGGUCUGCUUCUCUGUGCUCUGUUUCCUGUCUCUCACACACAUGGUCUCUCCCUUCUAUAUGUGCUCCCAUGAUGCAGUUCACCUUGAUGAGAUAUAGCCAGCUGGUGCUGUGCUCUUUGGACUUUCAGCUCCCAGAGCUGUAAGAGGAAGGCAGUCCUUUGCCCUACAAAUUACCCAGCCUCAGCGAGCAGCUUUUCUCCACCACGCCCUUCCACCAUGAUGUUUCUAGCCUGGAGCCAGAUACCUUGGACUGAAGUCUCCCAAACUGUGAGCCAGAGUAAACCACUCCUCCUAAGCCACCAUAAUCAGAGGGCUGCUGGGGCCUGGCUGGCUGGACAAACUGCUCAGAAUGGAUGCUGGGGGGCAAGAUGAAUCCCGGGCACUGCAGCUGUCUGCUUUCCACCCAGACGACCUAUCCCUCUGCACCCAAAGACUGUAUUUCUCACCUGCUUCUUUGCUGUUCCAGUGCUUCAGUGGCUCUCUGACCCAGUCACAAGGAAGUAUCAUGGGGGGACGGGGGAGAGGCUCAGGGUGGCAUCGGGGAGUCUGCUGCCUGCCCCUGUGGCCUCAUUCUUCAGCUGUUCAUGGGAACAAAACUGACUCCAACAUGAGGCUCUGU
Molecule: non-coding RNA, 680 nt
Organism: Heterocephalus glaber (naked mole-rat)
Lineage: Eukaryota; Metazoa; Chordata; Mammalia; Rodentia; Bathyergidae
Source: RefSeq, a predicted model, not a curated record